CUACUGUACGUCACUUUGGACAAAAGAGUCUGCUAAAUGGCAUAUAAAGAUUUAUUAUUACAUUGGUACGAGACAACCAGUAAACUUCAGUUUUUAAAUAAGAGAAAAUGGCUCAGAUCAGGCACUGAGUGUGUGUGUUGGAUCAAUACAGUGGGGCCAUUGGAAGAGGAGUGCUUGGCUUGACAGGAGGGUUCAGCCUUGGAGUGGAUGGAAUGGGGAGGGAACUCGUGGGCUCAUGGUCUAGUAAGAGCAACGUGGGAUAAAAGCACUCCCAGACUGAGCAUAGUAGGUGUGAGGGAAAGAGGGCCAGAGCAAGCCCGCUCCUGUGAAGGUAUCACAGACCCGUGUUUCGUAGCAAGGGCUAAGUGGUACGGAGGUGUCAAAAGGCCAGGGACCGUGACUUAAGGUGACCCGGAACUCUCUGACAAUGAGGGACCCCCAUUUGCUAUGGUAACGAGUGGUGGUGGAUGAACCUUCUGGAUGGUUUGGGUAAACAGUUGAUUCAAAGGGGGUGUGGCAGAUCCCAUAACUCUUCCGCGAAGGACUCCGGUAGGAUACUCUUGUGCUUCUUCGGCGGUAGGAGGCUAUCGAGGAGCGGAUUGCCCACUCCGCUCUACCUCUCAGUAGACGCAGGCUCCAGACAGACUCUCUCUACACAACACCUGAGGGUGGUUGAUAAAUCUGACUCGAUGGGUGUUCCAUCUGAACUUCAGUCACUAUGGAGACAGACCGACUCAUCUUAUAACACACGGUUGAAGAAUUGACUCAAAUUAAAUCAAGCUGCCAGA
RNAcentral lists this long non-coding RNA (788 nucleotides) under Salmo salar (Atlantic salmon). RNAcentral's name for it is "lncRNA (ENSSSAG00000082461.1)". Lineage: Eukaryota; Metazoa; Chordata; Actinopteri; Salmoniformes; Salmonidae. The record is from RNAcentral.